CCGCCGCUCGUUCCUUCUUUUCCCCCUUCUCGUCAUAUCUAGCGACCAGCCGCCAGAACCGCCUUGCCCCGCCAUUCGUCGCCCCUGCCGCUCCGCCGCGUUUCCUCCCCAUCCGCCGCUCUCCAUUGCCUCCCUAAGGUACCGAGGGGGAUUGACAUGGGGAUUUGAGUGGGAGAGGUUGGACCUACAAAGUGGUGUGUGGAUCUGAAAAGCAAGAGUAGAUGGAUUGAAGGCGAGCAGACCCCUCUGUCUUCUCUCUUUCUUCGCAGAGCCGCCGCUCGUUCUUUCUUUCCCCCCUUCUCGUCAUAUCGACAAGCCGCCAGAACCGCCUUGCCCCGCCAUCCGUCGCCCCUGCUGCUCCGCCGUGUUUCCUCCCCAUCCGCCGCCCUCCAUUGCCGCCCCAAGGUACCGAGGGGGAUUGACAUGGGGAUUUGAGUGGGAGAGGUUGGAUCUGCAAAGGGGUGUGUGGAUCUGAAAAGGUGAUAACAUAUUUUGUGGCUCGGACAUCCAGGGGAGCAAGAGUAGAUGGAUUGAAGGCGAGCGGACCCCUCUGUCUUCUCUCUUUCUUCAUAGAGCCGUCGCUCGUUCUUUCUUUCCCCCUUCUCGUCAUAUCUAGCGACAAGACGCGAGAACCGCCUUGCCCCGCCGUCUGUCGCCCCUGCUGCUUUGCCGCGUUUCCUCCCCAUCCGCCGCCCUCCCUCUAUUGCCGCCCCAAGAUAAG
Molecule: non-coding RNA, 721 nt
Organism: Aegilops tauschii subsp. strangulata
Lineage: Eukaryota; Viridiplantae; Streptophyta; Magnoliopsida; Poales; Poaceae
Source: RefSeq, a predicted model, not a curated record